UGAGGAAUUUUGCGCAAUGGCCGCAAGGCUGACGCAGCAACGCCGCGUGGGUGAUGAAGGCCUUCGGGUCGUAAAGCCCUGUCAGGUGGGAAGAAAGGCCUGGAGAGGAAAGGCUUCAGGUUUGACGGUACCACCAGAGGAAGCACCGGCUAACUCCGUGCCAGCAGCCGCGGUAAUACGGGGGGUGCGAGCGUUAUUCGGAAUUACUGGGCGUAAAGCGCGUGUAGGCGGGGGGACAAGUCUGAUGUGAAAGCCCUGGGCUUAACCUGGGAAGCGCAUUGGAAACUGUUUUUCUUGAGUACUGGAGAGGAAGGGGGAAUUCCCGGUGUAGAGGUGAAAUUCGUAGAGAUCGGGAGGAAUACCAGUGGCGUAGGCGCCCUUCUGGACGGUAACUGACGCUGGGACGCGAAAGCGUGGGGAGCAAACAG
RNAcentral lists this ribosomal RNA (428 nucleotides) under uncultured bacterium. Its description in RNAcentral is "bacterial SSU rRNA". It matches the Rfam family "Bacterial small subunit ribosomal RNA", at positions 355 to 775 of the family's 1533-position model. The record is from RNAcentral.